Molecule: non-coding RNA, 111 nt
Organism: Acanthosepion pharaonis
Lineage: Eukaryota; Metazoa; Mollusca; Cephalopoda; Sepiida; Sepiidae
Source: the annotation of a GenBank genome assembly
UACGGCCACAUAACGUUGAAACACCAGUUCCCGUACGAUCACCGGAGUUAAGCAACGUGGAGCCGGUCAAUACCGAGAUGGGUGGUCACUCGAGAAUAGCAGGUACUGUAA